Molecule: ribosomal RNA, 764 nt
Filed under: Micrococcus sp. A2b-7
Lineage: Bacteria; Bacillati; Actinomycetota; Actinomycetes; Micrococcales; Micrococcaceae
Also listed under: 1 other name
Description: bacterial SSU rRNA
Rfam family: Bacterial small subunit ribosomal RNA
Source: RNAcentral
GGCGAACGGGUGAGUAACACGUGAGUAACCUGCCCUUAACUCUGGGAUAAGCCUGGGAAACUGGGUCUAAUACCGGAUAGGAGCGUCCACCGCAUGGUGGGUGUUGGAAAGAUUUAUCGGUUUUGGAUGGACUCGCGGCCUAUCAGCUUGUUGGUGAGGUAAUGGCUCACCAAGGCGACGACGGGUAGCCGGCCUGAGAGGGUGACCGGCCACACUGGGACUGAGACACGGCCCAGACUCCUACGGGAGGCAGCAGUGGGGAAUAUUGCACAAUGGGCGCAAGCCUGAUGCAGCGACGCCGCGUGAGGGAUGACGGCCUUCGGGUUGUAAACCUCUUUCAGUAGGGAAGAAGCGAAAGUGACGGUACCUGCAGAAGAAGCACCGGCUAACUACGUGCCAGCAGCCGCGGUAAUACGUAGGGUGCGAGCGUUAUCCGGAAUUAUUGGGCGUAAAGAGCUCGUAGGCGGUUUGUCGCGUCUGUCGUGAAAGUCCGGGGCUUAACCCCGGAUCUGCGGUGGGUACGGGCAGACUAGAGUGCAGUAGGGGAGACUGGAAUUCCUGGUGUAGCGGUGGAAUGCGCAGAUAUCAGGAGGAACACCGAUGGCGAAGGCAGGUCUCUGGGCUGUAACUGACGCUGAGGAGCGAAAGCAUGGGGAGCGAACAGGAUUAGAUACCCUGGUAGUCCAUGCCGUAAACGUUGGGCACUAGGUGUGGGGACCAUUCCACGGUUUCCGCGCCGCAGCUAACGCAUUAAGUGCCCCGCC